CCUACGGGUGGCAGCAGUGAGGAAUAUUGGUCAAUGGCCGCAGGGCUGAACCAGCCAAGUCGCGUGAGGGAUGACGGUCCUAUGGAUUGUAAACCUCUUUUGUCAGGGAGCAAAGGGCGCCACGUGUGGCGUUUUGCGAGUACCUGAAGAAAAAGCAUCGGCUAACUCCGUGCCAGCAGCCGCGGUAAUACGGAGGAUGCGAGCGUUAUCCGGAUUUAUUGGGUUUAAAGGGUGCGAAGGCGGAAUGUCAAGUCAGCGGUAAAAUGUCGGGGCUCAACCCCGUCGUGCCGUUGAAACUGGGGUGCGUGAGUGAGCGAGAAGUAUGCGGAAUGCGUGGUGUAGCGGUGAAA
This 350-nucleotide ribosomal RNA is filed under the name uncultured bacterium. Its description in RNAcentral is "partial 16S ribosomal RNA". It matches the Rfam family "Bacterial small subunit ribosomal RNA", at positions 338 to 686 of the family's 1533-position model. The record is from RNAcentral.